RNAcentral lists this long non-coding RNA (1095 nucleotides) under Struthio camelus australis. RNAcentral's name for it is "lncRNA (ENSSCUG00000007767.1)". The record is from RNAcentral. Lineage: Eukaryota; Metazoa; Chordata; Aves; Struthioniformes; Struthionidae.
UCAGGACCUGCGCUUUUUUUUUUCUUUUUUUUUUUCUCCCCCUUUUUUCCCUUUCCCCCCCUUUUCCCUAUCCCUUUCCUUAAGGAAGAACAUUCCUCUGUAUUGAAGUGCAAGGUGCCGAGUUUGCAGGAGGAAAGAAACGAGCUUGUUUUCAGAAAAUCCUUGCAAAGCUACAUUUUUUUGGCCAGAUAGAGCAAAAUAACGCUGUAAAUACCCUGAGCACCAUUAAACAGCCAAUGCCCGGCUGCAUUAAAGCAGCGCUGGAGGCGCCGCGGGGAGGCUCGCCCUCCCGGCUCUGAGCCUUCACACGCACGCUUUGCCCUUCGGGCAGCGUUUGCUGCCUUCAGACGGGUAUGAGAGGAGUCCGAGUCCGAAGGAAGAGGAGGGAGCUUGCCGCCCCCCGGACCGCGUCCGCAUGGGGAAAAGCCGUGCAGGUUUAUCGACAGGGAGGAGGAAAGGCGUUUCCCUCGUCGGCGGGUGUCUGCCCCGUCAAGCGGUCCGCCGCCGUGGGGCACGGGUAGGCGCAGCAAAAGGAAACGAGGCAGCUUUCUUCGCUUGGUUUUUGUUUGCAGGCCAUCUGUUAAGGCCCUUUUACGUUUGUAGCCAAACAGGAUUAUUUUUAGCAGUGCCGCUUGUUGGUGUUUGGCAGGUUGGUGCAGUUGACGCAUCGCUGCGAGGAACCGCACACGAGAAACAGUUCGUUAAGAAUAUGUAAUUAACUUAAAACAAUCAGAUAAUCUGCAAGUGAUGCUCGCGGUGUAGUGCGACUUCCGAUUCAAGGGGAAAGAGCUAAAUGAAAAACUCGGAUUCUGGAGGGCUUUUUUGCUUGACUUGCGAGUUUAGAAGUAGGUCUUCAAGUAAGCGCUUCCCUGGUGGGGGACGAGACAAGGGGGGGUCUGAAGUUUCUACCCGGGCCGAGCGGGAAGCCCCGGCCCCGCGUAGCGGCGAUGCUGCAGCAUCGCCAUGGCAACCGGUGGAAACCGCUGGGAAAAGGAGCGAUUUCACGCUGGGUUGCAGCCAAGAAUUAUUGCUAGUGUCACGUUGCUGCGGCCGAGUUGCUCAUCAAUAAAACUAAAUUGGGACGGCUGUCUUGCA